CGAAUCUCGAAAGCCUGUCUCAGUUCGGAUUGGAGGCUGAAACCCGCCUCCAUGAAGUUGGAUUCGCUAGUAAUCGCGCAUCAGCCAUGGCGCGGUGAAUACGUUCCCGGGCCUUGUACACACCGCCCGUCAAGCCAUGGGAGCCGGGGGUGCCUGAAGUUCGUGACCGCAAGGAGCGACCUAGGGCAAAACUGGUGACUGGGGCUAAGUCGUAACAAGGUACC
RNAcentral lists this ribosomal RNA (224 nucleotides) under uncultured bacterium. Its description in RNAcentral is "partial 16S ribosomal RNA". It matches the Rfam family "Bacterial small subunit ribosomal RNA", at positions 1268 to 1500 of the family's 1533-position model. The record is from RNAcentral.